UUAAGCAUAUCAAUAAGCGGAGGAAAAGAAACCAACAGGGAUUGCCCUAGUAACGGCGAGUGAAGCGGCAACAGCUCAAAUUUGAAAUCUGGCUUCGGCCCGAGUUGUAAUUUGCAGAGGAAGCUUUAGGCGCGGCACCUUCUGAGUCCCCUGGAACGGGGCGCCAUAGAGGGUGAGAGCCCCGUAUAGUUGGAUGCCUAGCCUGUGUAAAGCUCCUUCGACGAGUCGAGUAGUUUGGGAAUGCUGCUCAAAAUGGGAGGUAAAUUUCUUCUAAAGCUAAAUACCGGCCAGAGACCGAUAGCGCACAAGUAGAGUGAUCGAAAGAUGAAAAGCACUUUGAAAAGAGGGUUAAAUAGCACGUGAAAUUGUUGAAAGGGAAGCGCUUGUGACCAGACUUGCGCCGGGCAGAUCAUCCGGUGUUCUCACCGGUGCACUCUGCCCGGCUCAGGCCAGCAUCGGUUCUCGCGGGGGGAUAAAGGCCCUGGGAACGUAGCUCCUCCGGGAGUGUUAUAGCCCGGGGCGUAAUGCCCUCGCGGGGACCGAGGUUCGCGCAUCUGCAAGGAUGCUGGCGUAAUGGUCAUCAGCGACCCGUCUUGAAACACGGACCAAGGAGUCAAGGUUUUGCGCGAGUGUUUGGGUGUAAAACCCGCACGCGUAAUGAAAGUGAACGUAGGUGAGAGCUUCGGCGCAUCAUCGACCGAUCCUGAUGUUUUCGGAUGGAUUUGAGUAGGAGCGUUAAGCCUUGGACCCGAAAGAUGGUGAACUAUGCUUGGAUAGGGUGAAGCCAGAGGAAACUCUGGUGGAGGCUCGCAGCGGUUCCUGACGUGCAAAUCGAUCGUCAAAUCUGAGCAUGGGGGGCGAAAGACUAAUCGAACCAUCUAGUAGCUGGUUACCGCCGAAGUU
Molecule: ribosomal RNA, 903 nt
Filed under: Chaetomium elatum
Lineage: Eukaryota; Fungi; Ascomycota; Sordariomycetes; Sordariales; Chaetomiaceae
Description: LSU rRNA
Rfam family: Eukaryotic large subunit ribosomal RNA
Source: RNAcentral